RNAcentral lists this long non-coding RNA (655 nucleotides) under Sinocyclocheilus grahami. RNAcentral describes it as "lncRNA (ENSSGRG00000038890.1)". Lineage: Eukaryota; Metazoa; Chordata; Actinopteri; Cypriniformes; Cyprinidae. The record is from RNAcentral.
AGGAAAUUAAUCUUAUAGACGAUAGUUGAAGAUGCUAUAAAUAAGAAUACCUGGACUAAGAACACUGUGAUGUCAGUAAUGCUACUCAGUGAGUGGUUUACUACGGUCUUACAAACAGAGACCAUAUGCCAUGCGCUCUUCAGUCUGAUAAAGCACCAUAUGGCCCAGGCGUCGCGUUUAGUCCUGUCUCAAUCCGAUUAACCUGUCGAAUAAACCAGUCGGUUUCUUUUCUAGUACUCGUGUUAUUUACUCUUUGAAGAUGAGUGUUGAUAAACAGGAGCCGGUCAUGAACACGUGCAAUGGCUAGAAAACUCGAGCGAGGAUAGAGCAAAAGUACAGUGCCAUGGAGGAUGCCCAGUCCAGACCCCAUUCAGUCCACUCCACAUACUCGCAGACAACCGAGGAUGCAGCCUCCGCCUUGGGAAAUCAUGCUGAACAUCACCUUACUGUCAGUCAGACAGUGCUGGUGGUUCCGAAGCGCUCAGAGAGCCCCAAUCCGAGUAUGACCGAAGAGACGACUUAUGCCCCUCGACUGGUGUCUUCAGUUGAUGCUUGUACUAACACAGACCCUCCAUACGAAUGCUGCCCAUGGCUGCGCAGACUGUGCCCGUGUCCACCCAGAGGCCUGCUGGCUACCAUUAUCACCAAAGGUUAG